CUUGAUCGAGCCGAGCCACAGCGGCUCGCCCUCGCGCUCGCGCCCGUACGUCGCGAGCAGUGCGUGCGCCUC
Molecule: non-coding RNA, 72 nt
Organism: Streptomyces rubellomurinus
Lineage: Bacteria; Bacillati; Actinomycetota; Actinomycetes; Kitasatosporales; Streptomycetaceae
Rfam family: ASpks TB sRNA
Source: Rfam